This 13875-nucleotide long non-coding RNA is filed under the name Marmota monax (woodchuck). The record is from RNAcentral. Lineage: Eukaryota; Metazoa; Chordata; Mammalia; Rodentia; Sciuridae.
GAGUGGGAGUAUUCGUGCUUCUCAUUCCAAGUCCUUCUGGCUUCUAGAAUUGUAAAGGCCAGCAGUCAGCCCUUUCGGCGCAAAGGGAAGGAAUCUGCGGGAAUUCUUGUGGAAGGAGAGAAGACACUAACGAGGUAACGAGGAAAGAUGUUUUCUAAAAGAGCUUCGUGUCUGGAAGAGGGUGACCGAGAAGGGGGCUUGGGAAGAGGGGUCAGGGCCCGCAGGAUGGGAAGGGGGUGAGAGUGAGUUUAUGUAAAGUGGAAGGUUCUGAAGGAAGAGAGCCAGAGAGGCAAUCCACCCACGAGAACUGGGAGGAGGAGGAGAGAUGGAGAAGACGAGCUGAUGAAUACUUUGAACCCGAGCCAAGAAAAUUGAGUAAUGAGAAACCAUGGCACUUGUGACUUAUUGUGCAUGCAGAUUCUAUGUAGCUUUGGGCAGUGAGAGGGAAUUUCAGAGUCUAAAGUCACUUGUGUGUGCAGCUGUCUUGGUGUACGAGGAUGAACUGGAAAAUCAAAUAUGAGAUAUGUGGUGUGCAUGUGUGUGUGUUGCUCUGAAGACCCUAAAGGAGAAUCCCCUCCUGCCACUGCAGCCCCUCCUGGGGACCCAGGGUCUGCCCCCCCCCCCCCCCCCCGCUGUCAUGCAACACUGGACUGGAGCCACCUUUCCAGGUGGUCAUCCAAGACAGAUCCUAUUUGUAGCCCUCCGUUCCCCUGGUUCCAGAGACUUCCUGGGGGGGGGGAGGGUUAUCUUCUCAUCCACAGGCCUUUCCUCUGAGUACAAAGUCACAGUACUGUGACAUACACUGUGUUGUAAAUCUCAGUAGGGUAUAAAUGGAGCAGCAUGAGUGAAAGGGAUUUUCAGCUGAGAUCAAAGGCCAGGUAGCAGGACAGAUGGGACAUCAACAACUACCGGUCAUCUCUUGGUCCCUUCCUCUGGUCCAUGACCUGCAAUUUCACUGGCCCUCCUUGCUAUUCCUCAAACACCCUGUGCACCUGCUGUCUUUGCCUGAAGGCUCUGACCCUGCACAUCGAGGGACUUGGAGAUCUCCUUUAUCUAAAUUGUCUCCUGCACCAUGUCACCCACUUUAAACUUUUUUAUGGCAUUUACUACUACCUGAGCCUAUCUAGGGUAUCUUUUGUGUUUCCUACAAGGGAGUUUUCUGCCGUAGGUACUUGUUUAGCUGACUUCCCCAGCCCUCCUAUUCCAUAUAAUCAUGAAGAUAGCCUUUAAACAGUAAAGAAUGAGGGAGACCGGUGUUGACAAAGACCCACCCACAAGAGCAAUGCUUUUUAUUAAGGAAGUAAAUAUCUGAGGGUUUGCUUUUGUUGUGUGGUUCUAAGAAGGCUCAGAGGCCCCCAGGUGAGUUCAAAGUCCCCUCUGUUUACCGGGUAGAAUAAACCUUAUUAUAAUGGACACACUAGAAUUCGCAGACAGAGAGGGCUUGGCUCUUUCUUUGACUCAUCUCCAUAGAGAUGGUCCUCUGUUUGCAGCUGGCCUGGACUCUGGUGGGGGAGGAGGUUAGGGCUGGGCACACAGGAGUUUAAGACACUUUCAAGGCUCCCUGGCUUGCUUUGAUCACGGGCCAGUAGCUGCUACAGGUGGCAGCCCUGGGUUUCUGCUCAGCAGGGUCCCAGCUCUUGGGUGCACAUGUGGAGAAGGUGUGAAAACCUUCUUUCUCUGGAGCCCAGGCUCAGCCAGCAGCCAGCAGCCAGCCCAGGGCUCCUUAGUCAGGGGCAGCCUCAUGGCCUCCUUGGGGAGAGUCCACGACUUCCCCUGUGUCAGCCCCUUACCACCAGCUCCGUUUCCACGCCCAGCCCUGCACCUCCACCUUCCUGCAUCCCAGUGCCCCCAAGGGCUCUCCUGGCAAGGUUCACCCAGCCUGCUGUGUUCGGCCCUCCACUUCCCAACUCCUUAGCCCCAUCCUGGGACCCCCUGCUUCCACCAGAAGAGCAGGGGCCAGGACCACCAGGUACAAAGAUUCUCUGGCAGGCCAUUUAUCUUAUCUUUAUGAGCUGCAACUUGGGUAAGUCACUUCUUGAAACUCCAUUUCUUUAUUUGUAACUAUUGGAUAAAUUCCCUGAUUUAACUCAGAGCAUCUCUUGGCUCCAAAAAGACAAUGAACAGUUUACACACUGGUCUUAUGAAUCGCCAGUUCCCAGUCUUUGGGAGCUAGUCCAGGCGAUACAAUGUGACCUAACAAGCAGACUCAUGGACAAUCAGCUUCCACAGUCAAAGGGUCCAAGGGGAUCCACCAAUGAGCGGUGGCUUUAUUUACAUCUGAGCUUUGCCUAUGUCCAGUCUUAAGAAAAAUUGUUGAAGAUGAGGAUGUUGGCAUCAGGCUGAGCUCUAAAGCAAUAGCUUGAGGGAGAAGGGGCUUUGCACACUCAAAUCACUAUUUUGACAAUUGUCCUCUUAACCCAUACACAAGGCUGACCCAGUUACAUACAAAGUCUAAUAAUCUGGGCGUGGCCAAAUGUGGUCCCAGAGGCCACCAUCACUGUUACACAACUAAUCAUUUCGCAAGUCUUGCCUCAUCAAAACUAUGUUUUUCUCUCAGUUUUGUUUGUCUUUCAAACACCCUGAUUACAAAUUGCAGACCUGGGCAACCCCAAACGAAAGUCUCGUCGUCAUCUGGCUUUGGCAAUUUCCUCUCCAACUAACUGUGGGAACAGAAAUAUAGACUCAUGGGUGCAGGGGGUGGGUGGGAUCUUGGAGGUCAGGGGGGCUGUCCUCCCAUCAGGGUCCUCAGCCAGUCGACAUGAUCAUUGGCUUAUGGAAUCCCUACUUGGUGCCAGAUGCUUGGGUGCUGAAGGGACUUCGCCAAGACACUGAGCAAGAUCCUGUCUCUGAUCUCACAGAGGCAUGUCAAUAAGCAGUUGGGACGCACCUAUAAACACAGUCUAGUUGUACACUCAGGGGGCUGAGGGGCCUGGGGGAGGGAAUGUCACCCAGGGUUAGGGGGUCAAAGGGCUUCUUGGGAGAGGUGGAAUCUUUCCUCCAGCCCCAACUUUCCUGAGGUAUAACUGACAAAACAUUCUGCACGACUUGAUGGACCACUGUAUGCAUACUUGGCGGAAUAAUCACCACUCAAGCUAAUUAGCAUACCCACCACCUCCCAGGAUGCCCAUUUGAUUUUGAGAAGUGGAGUUUUGCAGGGAAAAAAAAAAAGGAGUGAGCUAGAAGGAGACGCAAAGGGGGAAGGAAGGUGUUCCAGGAAGAGCUUAGAGCAUGUGCACGUGAGGGUGGGAGGCGAGAAAGGAAGGAUAGGAAGAGGGAAGGGAAGGGAAGUAAGGGAGCCAGCCAGGGUCAGGGGACAAACUGUGCUCAGUGCUUAUUCAGGGAAUGGCCAGGAGUCUCCAGCCUGAAGUGAGAAGUUCAAGGUGAGGGGUGGUGGGAGUGAGGCUGGAGCAGGCAGUGGACCCCCCACUCCCCCACCAGGAGGAGCCUUGCCAAGGAGGUGGGACUUCCUCCCGACCAGGUUCAGGGCACACCACUUCCAAACAUGGCACCCGCUGCCUUUAAGAAAGCAGGAAGGCUGCGCUUACCUUCCCCAACUCUGAAGCAGGACCUAAGACCCUCGUGUGAGAGGUGGCCUCCUUGAAGCUGGAGGAGAAGAUCAUCCUUAUCUCUGAAGACCUGGGGACACUGAGAAGAAUCUCAACAACAGACAUGGCUGAGAUCCCAAGUUCACUGCCAUCAGAUCCCACCCCCUUUCCACUCAUGCUCCUCCGUGCCUCUCCACUCUUCCCCACACAGAAGCAUGAACAUGCACAAGUUUUCCUGUUUGUCUCUUUCCUUCCUGAGGCUCUGUGUCAGGGAAAGCUUGCAUCAAAUGUACAUGCCUGACUUUUUCUUGUGGCUGGAUUUUGUCCCAGGGACAAAUGAACCUAGCAAAGAGAGAAGAAAGGAGACUCUUCCUGCCCUGCACUCCCAGAGACAAGGUGGUGAACAGUACAGCCGUUAGAGAAUGCUAGGUGAGUCCUCAAGUCUCUCAGGGGUCCCAUCAGCGGACCAUUCGUUCCACUGUGAGCCAGGUCACAUGGUAAGUAAAAUAUUUGUCAAACAGAGCCUGAAGCUGCAUCCAAGAGGACAGGCAUGGUCCCCGCGGUUCCAAGAGCAAUGUUCUCCAUGUCUGAAGACCCUCCCUGCCCAUCCCAUUUCCUCUUUUCAGGCUUGACAAGCCUAGCCCCCCACUUCUCUUGGGAAGCAUGGGGUUUGGAAAGUCCAGCUUUCUCCCUCUUACCUCUCCUCUAGAGAAGUGAGUUGUCUACACCACAGAGGUUCCACUGGGGCAUAGAUGGAGCAGGUGAAAGCAGUCCUGGAGUGCAGGGUGGACGUUUGCACUGACAGUGAGCCCACCUUUCUUUGCCUCUUAGCUACCCACUUUCUCUCUGCUCUUGCCUCUUGCCCCAGGAGCAUUCUCUUUACAUGUUGCUUGCUUUGCUAAGCUCCAGGUCCAGUUACCAGGGUUCUUUUGACAGCAUCUUACUCUGAACCCAUGUAAAUUUGAAGUCAAAUUGGCAAUAUGGUAAGAAGCGCCUCCAGAGUCACAAAGACCCGGGCUGGAAAUGUGGCUCAUCUGGUUAAUAUCUGUGUGACUUCAGGCAAGUGACUUAAUUUUUCUGAGUUUCUGCUUCUUCAUAGGUAUAGUGCUUACAACUAGAGCUUUCCUCUUUAGAUUUGUCUUUAGUAUUGUGGAGAAGUUCCAACUUUCCCACUGAAGGGUUUGAUAUUUGAUCCUGGCAAUAGACAGGUUAAUAGGAGCAAAGGCAUGAGACAUUUACUUAACCGUCCUUUUAUGGGUAACAGGAAGCUUCAGACUGAAGACCUAAUGACCCAGGGCAAACUAUCCAUUUUUAGUGUAGGUUCGACAAAGCAUGGGUGGCCAUGUAGAGAUAAGAUUGGGUAGAAAAGGUAUGACCUAGUGGUAAUGGAUUGAGGGGGAAAAAAAUUUGCUUAGAUUCUUCUUGACCUCCUAGGUAAGGGGCAGGAUCUUCUCUAGAACCAGAUCUUAAGACCUAUAAUUAAAUAAGCUGUGUCCCCCUAGGGAUUCAUCUUUCUUUAUUUUCUCCGGCAAGUCUUACAGAAAGGUCGGGGAAAGUUGUAGCAAUAUUCUCAGCUUUUAUGACUGGCUUUGGAGGAAAUGGAUCCUGGUUUCUAUGACCCACCUUGGGGAAGAGGAAUUCUAAUUUCUGUGGCUUGCUUUAGGGAAGAAGGGGAAGCGUCAGAGAAUAGGGCAGGAGAAAAAGAAAAUUCACUUCAGAGGAUACUUCUGAGGCCUCCGCUGGGGGGUACCAUUUUCUGAGCUCCCAAAAGCAAAUGGCACACACUAAUAACUAUAAAAGAUAGAAGUGACAAUGGUGGUCUUGCUCUUCCUCACAGUGAUACAUGGUUUCACUCUGAUUAGUUACUUGGAGCCUCAGUUUCCCCAUCUGCUGAGAAUAGUAGCAAGGAUUUGGCAGCACUAUUUAAGGAUCUAAGUGCACAGUGGAUCUUGGAGCAUGUUUACUUUCUUGACUUUGACCUCCAGUGGAUCCCCGGCCUCCGCUAGGCCCCUUCCUUCUAUCUUGAGAUGUUCCUAUCAGGGUCCCAAAUCUUUCUGGGUAAACAUCCUGGGAAAACAUGAGAGAGGAUCUUCCUUUUGGCUAUCCAAGAUCAGAGAGUCACACCCUGCUCCUGUGUUAUCUCUUAUUCUCUCUUUCCUCGCUGCCAUGGGCUAAACCGUGUCCACCCACCCCCGACUCUGACACACAGACACACCAAAAAGGAAUGUGGAAGUCCUAAUCCUCAGUUCCUGUGAAUGGGGAAAAAGUUCACUGUGGAUUCCAUCAAGUUAAGAUGAAGUCCUGGGGAUUAUCCCUAAUCCAGUAUAACCACCGUUCUUAUAAGAGGAGGAGAGAAAAAUAUGUGAAGACAGAGACACAGGGAGAAGAUGAUCGCUAUGUGAAGAUGGAGGCAGACUGAAGUGAUUUGGUCUUGUCUUCAAUGCAUCCCAUAGGAAAAGAAUAAAUAGCCCUGGAACUCCUUGGCUGUCAGCAUCUUUUUCUAGCAGUUUCCAAGGGAGGAAGGCUCUGCGGGCACAAUGGUAUCAGACUUCUGGCCUCCAGAACUAUGGGUCUUUGUUACAGAAAGGAAUGCAUUGUCUCCAUUACUAGUUAGAGUCCAAAUGAUGGAAAGGUCUAUUAAUUGGUCAAAUAAACAUUCCUGAAGCCCACCUUUAAAAUGGCCAGUUAGUUACCCAAUUAGGAUUUAGGAAUACACUAUGUGAAUAUGUAUAAGAUAAAAUGAGUGCAAACUGAGGGUGUAGCUCAGUGGUAGAGCACUGGCCUAGCAUGUGCAAAAUCCUAGGUCUAAUCCGGAGCACCACACAUCAACCCCCGACCCCCAAACACACACACACACACACACACACGGUAGAUGGAAAAGGGUCACAGUGAUCGAGAAGGAAAGAAAACUGCUUUAAAAGGGUUCAAAACACUGCUUCUUAAUGGAUAAGAGAAAGCAACUUGUAAAAGUUGGAAAGGUCUUAAAUGAAUGUCAGGACAGGAAGAAAAAUAUAGGGCCAUAAUUCAAGGGUCUUAGGGGAGCUGGCAUUUUUGUGCUGAUUUAAUCUAAGAUUUCAGCUUUAACAAGGGGUAAGGUUUACAGUCUGAAAAUUAGCCACAAGGUAUAACUUUACCCCUGACUUAACAGAGAACUUGAAGAAUAGAGCAAGCAGCUCUGUCAGAACUUGCCAAGCAACUGCAGAAUGCUGUUUGAACAAAGCACAGUUGCCCUGCCUGUGAAUUACAGGAAGAAAGGAAGGAAGAAAAAGAGAGAGCUUCAGGGCUUUUCAUUCUUUUUCUAUGGGAUGUAUUGAAGAAAAGAUCAAUUCACAAGUCACAGACCCAGCUGGAAAACGUAGGGCCAAACAAAGCACAGGGCCACGAGUCGCUCACCCCCAACUUGCAGGAGCUCUGCGUCUGGGAGGACAUUCAAAGGCAGGGCAUGAUUGUGGUGGAAUCCCCUUGGUACUGGGCUUCUGCAAGCUAUAUCCAAAUGUCAUCUGUGUCUUAAAAACCAGAACAGACAGUGAUGGCCUUGGAGUUAUGCAGAGUACUCAGAUCUCUGCUGGUGGGCACGGGGAAGGAAAUGGGGCCUUGCACAUCGGACAGAACCAUCAGUUCUCUUGCAGUGGAUUGUGGCUCCAUAUAAGCACCUUUAAGACUUCCUGGACAUCUGAUGUUUUCACUUACACAGCAUCCCUUCCAACCCUGCUUUUGGGAACCCUGUUCUGAUUUUCCCCUAGGGAUUCAUCUUUCUUUAUUUUCAGUCCCUGGUUGUAGGUGUGAGUACAUGACCACAGCCUGACCAAUCAGGGUAUUUCAUUGUCCUGGAGCAAGGUAGUAAUUGUUUUAGAGAAGGCAUGUGACCAAAGCCUGGCCAAUCAGGGUAGUCCAGUGGUAGUAAUUGUUUACGGGAAGGCACAUGACCACAGCCUGGCCAGAGUAAUUCAUUGUCCUGGAGGCAGUAACCGAUUUAGGGAUGGGCACAUGUCACAAAUCAGCCCAAAGAAGUUUUGUGGAGGAGAAAAAUAAAAUAAAAUGGAAUAGCGUUAUUUGGGGCACUUAAAAUAGUUGAGAGACUACUGUCAAACCAAAUCUCAGACGUGUCUGCUACUGAACCUUUGGAUUGGGCCAGAAACGCAUGAAAGAUGACCUUUGAAAUAACACUAAUCUCUAUUGACCUUGUAUACAACAGACCCCAUGCCCCAUACUACCCAGAGUCUGAGGCUGUACCCAGUCUCUUUUUCAUAAACCAACAUCACUUCUGCCAGCAGCAAUCAUAAUCCCUGUCUAACAAAUGAUGUCAUUACCAGCCCCCUUGUGGCUUAAAGCUAUAAACCCAGCUGCCAUCUUGCAAAACCUCAGAGCACAUUCUCAAGACUGCAGGAAUCAGUGUUGGCCUGCACUGAGGUCCUAAUUGGCCCAAUUUCUUGCCAUUUUCUUUUUUUCUUGACUAGACUGAUUUUAUCUUAGGUCACAGGUUGAUCCUAAGAACUUCGGCAAAAGCUAUUGGUGCCGAGAUGAAGGCAGCUGGGUUGCUAAGAGCACUGGAGGCCUGUGGAGCUGCCGCCAUCUUGCUAUCACAUGGGAAGAGGCAGCCUGAGUGUGUUGAGGAGCAAGUGCUAAUGAGACUGAGCCCCUGGAUCCAGCUGCAACCAAAGCUUUUUUUCUGUUGCAUGAACCAAUAUACUUCUUCCUUUGGUUUACUUAAGAUUUUAGAAGUUAUGUAUCUUUUACUGGCAACCUAAAGAUUUAUAACACAGAUCUUGGUAAGCUGCAAUAGGUAUGAUGGCAAAUAUCAUGGAAAUUUAGAGAAGCCAGAGAGAUUUAUAUGGCAUAUUGGAUCUGAAAACUUGUAAAAUAGGAGCUGACAUGACCAUGAGGAAAGAGUACAAAGAGUAUUUUGAAAACAUAAAUCGAUGGUAUUAUUCCUUUAAGUCCUUCUGGAGUGAGGGAAUAGAAACAAUGUUGUUAGAAAGAAAACAAUAGUAAUCUGAUUCUUCUUGCAGUAUUAUGGCAUCAUACAGACCUAUCCCAAGAGCAAGAACUGUGGGAGAGGAUAGGCUCUGCACUAGGGAGACCAACUCUUCUUCUUGUCUGGGACUGUCCCUGUUUUAAUGCUGAAUGUCACUUGCCCUGGGAACCCCUUAGUCCCUGGCAAAUCUAGAUGGUCAUUCAUGUGCUUUUCUAGUCUGAUCAGGUCAUUUUACUUUUUCGAACCUCAGUUUCUUCAUCAGUAAAUAGGGCAUAUGUGGCAGGGGGAGGGUGCGGUGGGAGAACCAGCUGUAGUUUUCAAGUCAUGAUUUGGGGAGCUGCAGGCAUUUGUGAAGGGCCACCACAGCCACUCCAGAAGGGGAAGGUGCUGAGCACCCUUUUCUGCUGUAGCCAGAGGAGUUUUUUUUUUCUGUGUGUUUUAAAAAUAGGGAUCUACCUAAGAUUUGCUGGAGGGAGGGAGGACCUGCUCACCGAGGGACCUCCUCCAGAAUGCCAUGCUUUCUUUUCUUUGUUAAGAGGCAAAUGGUUCUUAUAGACCAGUGUUCCUGCACCUGGCUUCUCCUCCUAAGAGCCACUGAGGAACUUUAAAACAGUGUACAUUCCUGGCUACCACCCCUGGAGGCUUUGGCUCCCCUGGAAUUGGGUGGAGCUUGGGAACUGUAUCUUUUUAAAAAAAUCUUUGCAGGUGACACACAUAUGAAUUAUUGACAAAUGUCAGUAUGUUAACUAUGAUUAAUAAUAAAUUACUUUCCACACACCUCACAAAUGGCCAAGACAUCACUGUUCCAGAAGCCAUGUUCCAGAACAUCUCAAACUUUCCAUGCAUCAAGAGGAAGGCUCUUUAAAAAAACAGAUGACUGGGCUCCAUCUCCAGGGUUUCUAUUAAAGUAGGACCUGGAAGGGCCCAGAAAUUCGCAUUUCUAAAACACUUCCUGGAAGGUAUUGGCUACAUUCAGUAGCAUCAUUUUAUACCACCAACUCCAGUAAGUUGCCUGGUCUCUUUGAAUUCUGUCAUCACUGUACCCUCCCCUUUCCCUGCCCCCCCCCCAAAGCACUUAGCAAAUUAUUGAUGAAUAAAUGAGUGGAGAAGGGGUUUGUAGGCUUCGGUGAUAGCCACCUUUCUUUUUUUUUUAAAUUAAAAUUUAAAUAAAAAAUUUUAAUUGCUAAGUAACGAUAACACGUAUUUGUGGGGUACCAUGUGAUAUUUCAAUGCAUGUAUACAACAUGAAAUGAUCAGAUCAAGGUAAUUGGUAUUUUCAUCCCCUCAAACAUUUAUCAUUUAUUUUCUACUGACUUUCUAAAGAAUCUUGUGGCCGACACCCUUUAGCAUGUGAGAAAGAUUGCUACUGGCUAUCUAAGGGGUAUUGUCUCAUGGAACUGUGGUUGAGAACAUGGGUGGGAACAACAGGAUUUCCUGCUCUUGGCUUUAGGGACUUUAUGCUGAAUACAUAGAAGCAACUGCUUCUUUCUGUCUUGGAGCCUCCAGCCAAGUCCACUGGGCUUACUCAAAGACUCCAUUUUGCUUUGUUUUUCACUGUCUGAGGCCAGAAGACUUAAUUUUCUUCUACCAAUCCCUCUCUGGCUUUCUUUAGCUUGUUGUUGUAUUUAAGCUUUUAAAUCAAUUUGCUGGGAUGUUAUGCAAGCAAUUCUGGUUGCUCCAACUCUCUAUUCCUGUGGCUAAGCUUGUCAUGGUUUCUCUGCAAGCUCCAGAUGACCACUCUGAUCUCUGCUCUGACUCGACAAGGCACCCAGUCAUCCUGCAUCCUUUGCCUUGUUUGGGGGGCUCUGUUGGGGCUGGAACAGCUGCGGGCAGCUUGGCACUAUCUUUCCACCCCUCAUUAGUACAAGAAAUGUUUCUUGGACUACAGAACCUAUCAUGGCCACCACCCAGACCUCAAGGCCAGACACACCCCAAAUAAAGUUAGAAAGGAGGAGAAACCACUGACCAUCAUUAGCCACUAAAUAGGGGGUACUCGGUCCAAGUUCUGGAGGAACAUUCAGAUGGUUAAGUGGCUUUGCAGCCUUUAUGUAACUGUUGAAAUAAGAAACAGCAUUCAGAAAACAAACACAAAUAACAAUCAUAGAAUUGAAAGAGAGUUUCCCUCUAUUUCAGAUCCUGCUUCUGGGGUGGUGACACGGACAGUCAAUUCGUUGGCAUUACAGUCCCACGUUUGCUAGGAAAACAAGAUGUGUGUCGAACAGGCAGGAAAUAGACGACCUUCCCAACUCCUCCCUGCAGAGAGGGUUUGGUUCUGACCAGAACCUGAGCUUAUGGAGAAAUAAUCUCUUCUAAAUCAGUUCUAUAAAAUCAGCCCAACUGAAGAGCCACGUCUGUGGCAAGGUGCAAAAGCAGCCUUAUCUACCAUCCCACUCAGGGGUCCCCACAGGUCCCUUCUCCAGAGUGACUGCUCAACAGUCGUCGGCAGCUGCCCAGCUAUUGCCCAGUGGUAGUCAGCAAGGCAGGAAGCAUGCAUUUCCCCCUGCAGGGCAGAGAUGCCUGCCAGAGCAGAACUGUCCCCUGGUGCACACUGGUCUAGGAGGCUUGGCCAUGUGUGCUCUAGAAACAUCCAGAAUCUUCUUUGUGUUGUGUUAAUGACAUUUGUGUUUCAGGAAACACCUUUGAAUCUUGCUGACAGGAAACUGUCUUGUUAGGUAAUUAACACAAGGGAGGAUUCAAAAGUUUUCCACUUAGAAACCUUGUGCACUGGACACUUUCCUUGUAGGGAGUCUAUUGGGCUUUCACAACAUGGUAGGUCAUGGAGGGCAGGGCACUUGGAGGAGGGAGGGAAGGUGACCUGCAUGUCCCUCUUAACAUUGCCACUGGUCUUGGAAUCAGGACAUUUUUGUUUUUCCUGAUUUACAAAAUGUGUGCUGUCCCACAGGGGAAAGAUUAUGGGUGAUUAAGAGUGACUGCAAGGAGAGAUUGAAACCCACUCGUGCCAUUCACAGAGAUCAAGGAAAUUCAAAUACUGAGAGAAGGGCCAAGUUCACACCCUUGCAGGCAUCAGAGAAUGGGAAAGGCAGACUGUUUGUGGCCCCAGAUGUACAUUCUCACUACUAGGGGGAAACUCAGUGGUCCUCAAAGUUCAUCUUUCUCAUGGUGGGUUGAAAAAAAAAAUUUUUUUUUUGUUAAGAAACACAAUGAGUCCAAAUAGCUUAGAGAACUUGAGAGAAUCCCUAUAUGUGGGGAGAGAAGAGAAAGUCCCCACUGCAUGGGGCAGCAGCACUCAGGAAUCUGAAGGUCAGAUGCAUUAGGGAGGGAGAGCUAGCAGGGGAGGAAGGGAGUCGAGAGCAGGAUCCAUGUUUACCUCUGGGAAACAAAAUCAUUGGAGAAACAAACCAGAACUUUCCAUAAAGCCUUUCUGUUUACACUUGGAAGAACCCAGAAGCAAAGGCAGUGUUCCCAGGAGUCUACAGGUGCCAUGUUGCUACGUUUGGAUUUUUCCAAGGAAGUGUCUGGAGGCAACAUUGGCCUGAUGUUCUGGCACCAGCUUGGAGAGAACUGCCCUCCGGCCCCUAUUUCACAGGAUUGGCUAUUUAUUUGUUUAUUGGUAAAUUCAUGUUAACAGAAAUAACUACGUAUCUAACAGUUCAGAGUGAUCCAGAAGUUCUUCUCAUGCUCUGUGCCAAUUUUACUUUCUCCUUGUGUCCUUCUAGACCUCCUCCUCCACCUUGAUGGUUGAAGUCGUUUCAGCAGUUCCUCAAGAGCUGCUUUAACCACGAGGAGGCAGAGUGGAACAUUCUUCUCUUUCAUGAUGUCCCAAACAAGUUGCCACAUGGUAGCCCUGGUCUGAAGGAGAUCCAGCAUAUAAGGUUGGCAUCCCACCCAUUAAACAUGGUCUUUGUCAUGAAGACAUUUUCUGGUUGAGACCUCUUGACAUGUUGGUGUUCCCUUUGGUGACCAGAGACAGUCAAGUCUCCUGAGAUUCGUUUCAUGCUAUUGAGGGGUGACCAUAUCUUGAAGCACUGUGGUUGACAGUUGUGUCACAAAGUUAUCAGUCUUCUGUAAUCUCUGCCUGUAUCAUGACAGAAGGAGGAUGUUGUCCUCUUAUCACAGGUCAGUGUGGUAAUCAUAGCUGAACCAUUUAAUGGUAGCAGAAUUCUGUAGGCUUUGGUUGAUAGCAGGUCACUCAGUGCAGGGAGAAUACUCCUUCCCAGCUCUGGUUCUGGGAUUCCAGGACACUGCCAAUGGAACAAGACUCAGUGUCCAAAACCAUGCAAAAGGGGAAGUGUGGAUCCAUUAAAAAGAAACUGGAAGAAAAGAAACUGGAUUCGUCUUGAGUUGUAACCCCAAGGUGGCUGUAAUUUUUCCUGCACGGUUUCCCAGCAAACUAUAAAUAAAUCAAACCAUCAGAAUGGCAUAUGGAGCUUUACAACUGGACCCUGGCACCAGGAAUGUGCCUGGCUGACAUUUUCUUAAGAUAAAAAGGUACAAAUUGGCUAAGAUAAAGUCAUUUUUCCAUAUAUGUGUAUAUUCUUUUCUUAGCCAAAUUGCAGGGAUCCACUUGAACUUCACCCCUGCCACCCAGCCCGGAGCUUCUCAGUAAGUCCCCUAAUAAGUUGCCCUCUGUGCCAUCCUGGAUCUGUCUGCCUCUUCAGUCUCAUGGCACCUGGGGCCAGUUCUCCUUCCGUGGGACCAGGUUGUUCCAGAACACUCCCUUAGGACAAGGAAAGUGUGACAUACAAGGAAGGAGAAAUCACUGGAGGCUGGAGUGGGCUGGGGUGUUCAAGAGAAGAUGUCAAGAAAAUGCAGGUAUGUGAGCUAAGCCUGGUAUGCCGUGGUGGGGAGAGAAAUUCAUUGGAGCAUUGCAGAAGCACUGAUAUCCAGGGAGGUGCAUUAGGAAACAAAAAUGUUUUCAUGAAUCAUGUGAUGCUGGCUGCUGGACUGAAUUCUUAUGUAUGUGCCAAAUUUUCAUGUUGAAACUUGACCCCCAAUGUAGCGAUAAUAGGAGGCAGCACCUUUGGAAGGUGACUGGAUCAUGAAGGUAGAAUCCUCAUGAAUGGGAUCAGUGUCCGUAUAAAAAUGACCUCCCAGAACUUUCUUGCCCCCUCCCUGCCAUGUGAGGGUACAAUGACAAGGCAGCACCUGCAGGUCUGGAAGAUGGACCUCACCAGAAUGCAACCAAGCUGGCACCCUGAUCUUGGACUUGUAGUCUCCACAACUGUGAGAAAUAAAUUUGUUGUUUGUAAGCCACCCAGACUUGGGUACUUUGUGAUAGCAUCACUCUGCUUUUAUCUCUCAUCUCUUACUUUUCCUCUUUCCCGUGUGUUUUGCCUCUUGCUUCUCCUUUGCACAUCUUAAGUCAUUCAGCAGUGACCAGAGGCCCAGCUAUCA